GACGAACGCUGGCGGCGUGCUUAACACAUGCAAGUCGAACGGAAAGGCCCUGCUUUUGUGGGGUGCUCGAGUGGCGAACGGGUGAGUAACACGUGAGUAACCUGCCCUUGACUUUGGGAUAACUUCAGGAAACUGGGGCUAAUACCGGAUAGGAGCUCCUGCUGCAUGGUGGGGGUUGGAAAGUUUCGGCGGUUGGGGAUGGACUCGCGGCUUAUCAGCUUGUUGGUGGGGUAGUGGCUUACCAAGGCUUUGACGGGUAGCCGGCCUGAGAGGGUGACCGGCCACAUUGGGACUGAUAUACGGCCCAGACUCCUACGGGAGGCAGCAGUGGGGAAUAUUGCACAAUGGGCGGAAGCCUGAUGCAGCAACGCCGCGUGCGGGAUGACGGCCUUCGGGUUGUAAACCGCUUUCGCCUGUGACGAAGCGUGAGUGACGGUAAUGGGUAAAGAAGCACCGGCUAACUACGUG
RNAcentral lists this ribosomal RNA (468 nucleotides) under uncultured bacterium. Its description in RNAcentral is "partial 16S ribosomal RNA". It matches the Rfam family "Bacterial small subunit ribosomal RNA", at positions 28 to 507 of the family's 1533-position model. The record is from RNAcentral.